RNAcentral lists this ribosomal RNA (497 nucleotides) under uncultured bacterium. Its description in RNAcentral is "partial 16S ribosomal RNA". It matches the Rfam family "Bacterial small subunit ribosomal RNA", at positions 28 to 507 of the family's 1533-position model. The record is from RNAcentral.
GAUGAACGCUGGCGGCGUGCCUAAUACAUGCAAGUCGAGCGAACGGACGAGAAGCUUGCUUCUCUGAUGUUAGCGGCGGACGGGUGAGUAACACGUGGAUAACCUACCUAUAAGACUGGGAUAACUUCGGGAAACCGGAGCUAAUACCGGAUAAUAUUUUGAACCGCAUGGUUCAAAAGUGAAAGACGGUCUUGCUGUCACUUAUAGAUGGAUCCGCGCUGCAUUAGCUAGUUGGUAGGGUAACGGCUUACCAAGGCAACGAUGCAUAGCCGACCUGAGAGGGUGAUCGGCCACACUGGAACUGAGACACGGUCCAGACUCCUAAGGGAGGCAGCAGUAGGGAAUCUUCCGCAAUGGGCGGAAGCCUGACGGAGCAACGCCGCGUGAGUGAUGAAGGUCUUCGGAUCGUAAAACUCUGUUAUUAGGGAAGAACAUAUGUGUAAGUAACUGUGCACAUCUUGACGGUACCUAAUCAGAAAGCCACGGCUAACUACGUG